RNAcentral lists this ribosomal RNA (397 nucleotides) under uncultured bacterium. RNAcentral describes it as "partial 16S ribosomal RNA". It matches the Rfam family "Bacterial small subunit ribosomal RNA", at positions 523 to 918 of the family's 1533-position model. The record is from RNAcentral.
AUACGAAGGGUGCAAGCGUUACUCGGAAUUACUGGGCGUAAAGCGUGCGUAGGUGGUUGUUUAAGUCUGUCGUGAAAGCCCUGGGCUCAACCUGGGAAUGGCGAUGGAAACUGGGCGACUAGAGUGUGGCAGAGGGUAGUGGAAUUCCUGGUGUAGCAGUGAAAUGCGUAGAGAUCAGGAGGAACAUCCGUGGCGAAGGCGACUGCCUGGGCCAACACUGACACUGAGGCACGAAAGCGUGGGGAGCAAACAGGAUUAGAUACCCUGGUAGUCCACGCUCUAAACGAUGCGAACUGGAUGUUGGGUGCAAUUUGGCACGCAGUAUCGAAGCUAACGCGUUAAGUUCGCCGCCUGGGGAGUACGGUCGCAAGACUGAAACUCAAAGGAAUUGACGGGG